GCGUUGUCCGGAAUUAUUGGGCGUAAAGAGCUCGUAGGCGGUGUGUCACGUCGGCCGUGAAAACCUGGGGCUCAACUCUGGGCGUGCGGUCGAUACGGGCAUCACUUGAGUUCGGUAGGGGAGACUGGAAUUCCUGGUGUAGCGGUGAAAUGCGCAGAUAUCAGGAGGAACACCGGUGGCGAAGGCGGGUCUCUGGGCCGAUACUGACGCUGAGGAGCGAAAGCAU
Molecule: ribosomal RNA, 226 nt
Filed under: uncultured bacterium
Lineage: Bacteria
Description: partial 16S ribosomal RNA
Rfam family: Bacterial small subunit ribosomal RNA
Source: RNAcentral